AGUGAACGCUGGCGGUAGGCCUAACACAUGCAAGUCGAACGGCAGCACAGUAAGAGCUUGCUCUUACGGGUGGCGAGUGGCGGACGGGUGAGGAAUACAUCGGAAUCUACUUUUUCGUGGGGGAUAACGUAGGGAAACUUACGCUAAUACCGCAUACGACCUACGGGUGAAAGCAGGGGAUCUUCUGACCUUGCGCGAUUGCAUGAGCCGAUGUCGGAUUAGCUAGUUGGCGGGGUAAAGGCCCACCAAGGCGACGAUCCGUAGCUGGUCUGAGAGGAUGAUCAGCCACACUGGAACUGAGACACGGUCCAGACUCCUACGGGAGGCAGCAGUGGGGAAUAUUGGACAAGGGGCGCAAGCCUGAUCCAGCCAUACCGCGUGGGUGAAGAAGGCCUUCGGGUUGUAAAGCCCUUUUGUUGGGAAAGAAAAGCAGCAGGUUAAUAACCCGCUGUUCUGACGGUACCCAAAGAAUAAGCACCGGCUAACUUCGUG
Molecule: ribosomal RNA, 492 nt
Filed under: uncultured bacterium
Lineage: Bacteria
Description: partial 16S ribosomal RNA
Rfam family: Bacterial small subunit ribosomal RNA
Source: RNAcentral